GUACUAUGUUAAACAACAGUGGUGACAGGGGGCAUCCUUAUCAUGUUCCAGAUCUUAGAGGAAAAGCUUUCCAUUUUUCCCCAUUCCAUAUGAUUCUAGCUGUGGGUGUCUUUCCUGUAGUUUUUAUUAUGUUGCGUGAAAGAAGAUUGCCACGGAGACAGACAGCAGCAUGGUCAGUGUGGUAGGAGCCGGCCAUCAGCGAGAGCUGCUCCAUGCCUGGCUGCUGGGAGCUAGAGCCUGCGGCCCACUGGCUUGCCUCACUGUAGUUGGUGGUGGCAGUGACAGAGACUGCAGCAUGACCAGAGUGGCUUUUCUGGCUUUGCCCGCCCAGCUGCUCCAUGCCAGGAGGAGGAGGAGACACCUAGAGCCUGCAACACCACGGCUCACCUCGCUGCAGGUGGGUGGCAGUGACGGAGACUGCAGUGCGCCAGAGCGGUAGGAGAGUGGCCACGCUAGGAGGGCGGGCGGCUGCAGGCAGGGUUGGGAGUCAGGCUUACAGCGAUGGACGGGCUGCAGCAGUGGCCAGGUGGUAGGAGCCUUGUAGGGAGGGCUGGUGCAUUGGCAAUGGGCCUGGCUUUGCCCUGUGCCUGCCGUGGAUCUGGCCCUGUACUGCCCUGCCUUGCCCUGUACCUGCCCUACUGUUACCUGGACUCUCAGCCCUGUCCUGCUCUGGUCCCAUCCUGACCCUGUCUUGGCCCCGUGCUACCCUGUCCCUGCCCUGGUCUUGCCCUGGCACUGGCCCUGCCCUGAACCUGCACUGGCCUGACCUUGGCUCUGGCCCUGGCUCUGGCCCUGCCCCUUGUCCUGACCCUGGUCCUGUCAUGGCACUGGCCCUGCCAGUGGUCAUGGUCCUGCUCCUGUUCUGGCCCUGACCUGGCCUUGGAAAUGUCCUGGCUCUGCUUUGGCCCAUCCCUGCCCUGGCCCCACCAUGGGCCUUCCUGUUCUGCCCUCUCCUGGCACUGACCUGGCCCUGUCAUGGCCCAGUGGUGCCAUUGCCCUGCCUUACCCUGCGCUGGUUGUGCCUUGGCCCCGCUUGGUGCUGGCCGCUUCCUGGACCUGCCCUGGACCUGCCCUGACCCUGCCUUGGCUUUUGCCCUGCCCUCACUAUGGCCUGGCCCUGGCCCUAGCCCUGGUCCUGCCAUAUCCCUGACCCUGCCCUUAUCCAGGCCCUGCCCCUGCUGCUGCCCUGGCCCUGGCCUGGAACCUGGUCCUGUCAAGGACCUGCCCUGACUCUGCCAUGGCCCUGGCCCUGCUCUGCCUUGUUCCUGGCCCUGACCCAGACCCAGACCCUUUCCUGGCUCUGCACUGGUCUUUCCCUGGCCCUGAGCUGGCAGUGGUCUGCCCCUGGUCUUGCCAUCACCCUGCCCUGCUGUGCUCUGGAUGUGUCAUCACCCUGCCCUGGCUCUACUCUGCCUUUGACCCUGCCCUGGCCUUGCCUUGGCCCUCACCCUAGUCUUCGCUAGGCCCAGCACAGACCUGGCUCUGACCCUGGCCCUGGUCUUUGUCCUGCCAUAGCUUUGGCCCUGAAGUGGACUUGGAGGUGUCCUGGCCCCGGUGUAACAUGGCUCUGCAUUGGCCUGUCUCUGCCCUGCCCCUACCAUCGCCUUGCCCUGCUCUGCCCUGUCCCAGUACUGACCCGGCCACGCUAUUUCCCCGCCCUACCCUGCCUUGGCUGUGCCCUGGCUCGGUUCUGGCCCUGGCCCCGGCCCU
RNAcentral lists this long non-coding RNA (1710 nucleotides) under Homo sapiens (human). RNAcentral describes it as "HSALNT0352482". Lineage: Eukaryota; Metazoa; Chordata; Mammalia; Primates; Hominidae. The record is from RNAcentral.